RNAcentral lists this ribosomal RNA (468 nucleotides) under uncultured bacterium. RNAcentral's name for it is "partial 16S ribosomal RNA". It matches the Rfam family "Bacterial small subunit ribosomal RNA", at positions 28 to 507 of the family's 1533-position model. The record is from RNAcentral.
GACGAACGCUGGCGGCGUGCUUAACACAUGCCAGUCGAACGGCAAGGCCCUGCUUUUGUGGGGUGCUCGAGUGGCGAAGGGGUGAGUAACACGAGAGUAACCUGCUCUUGACUUUGGGAUAACUUCAGGUAACUGGGGCUAAUCCAGGAUAGGAGCCCCUGUUGCAUGGUGGGGGUUGGAAAGUUUCGGCGGUUGGGGAUGGACUCGCGGCUUACCAGCUUGUUGGUGGGGGAGUGGAUUACCCAGGCAUUGACGGGUAGCCGGCCUGAGAGGGUGGCCGGCCACAUGGGGACUGAGAUACGGCCCAGUCGCCUACGGGAGGCAGCGGUGGGGAAUAUUGCACAAUGGGCGGGAGCCUGAUGCAGCAACGCCGCGUGCGGGAUGACGGCCUUCGGGUUGUAAACCGCUUUCGCCUGUGACGAAGCGUGAGUGACGGUAAUGGGUAAAGAAGCACCGGCUAACUACGUG